UACAGAGGGUGCAAGCGUUAAUCGGAAUUACUGGGCGUAAAGCGUGCGCAGGCGGUGAUGUAAGACCGAUGUGAAAUCCCCGGGCUUAACCUGGGAACUGCAUUGGAGACUGCAUUGCUGGAGUAUGGCAGAGGGGGGUGGAAUUCCACGUGUAGCAGUGAAAUGCGUAGAGAUGUGGAGGAACACCGAUGGCGAAGGCAGCCCCCUGGGCCAAUACUGACGCUCAUGCACGAAAGCGUGGGGAGCAAACAGG
This 253-nucleotide ribosomal RNA is filed under the name uncultured bacterium. RNAcentral's name for it is "partial 16S ribosomal RNA". It matches the Rfam family "Bacterial small subunit ribosomal RNA", at positions 524 to 776 of the family's 1533-position model. The record is from RNAcentral.